GCGCUCGUAGCUCAGCUGGAUAGAGCGUUCCCCUCCUAAGGGAAAGGUCAGGAGUUCGAAUCCCCUCGAGCGCGCCA
Molecule: transfer RNA, 77 nt
Filed under: Mollicutes bacterium
Lineage: Bacteria; Bacillati; Mycoplasmatota; Mollicutes
Also listed under: 2 other names
Description: tRNA-Arg
Rfam family: tRNA
About the family: Transfer RNA (tRNA) molecules are approximately 80 nucleotides in length.
Source: RNAcentral